GCUUUUCAGCAAUGAAGAUCUU
RNAcentral lists this small nuclear RNA (22 nucleotides) under Arabidopsis thaliana (thale cress). Its description in RNAcentral is "snRNA_04997". Lineage: Eukaryota; Viridiplantae; Streptophyta; Magnoliopsida; Brassicales; Brassicaceae. The record is from RNAcentral.